CUACUCAAGAGAAGGGUUGCUACUGCAUGGAAGGAAUCUUAUCUGGCGGUAUGGAUAGCAGAACUGCAGCUGAAAGCCCUUCUCUAAAAGUCUAUUUCUUUCUAUGGGAUCCUGAAAUAGUUGAACCUCAGAUGUGGGUGGCCUAAUACCUCUGUAUAUUGGGAAGAAUAAAUGCAUGCACUCAGUUGGCAUGAAAAAUAAAUUGUUUUGCUUGAGGCUGAAAUACUUGACAUCGCUAUUAACCCAGUGGAAGAAAUAAUAACUUACAUGCAUUAAUAGAGACAAAGCAAGAAGAUCAAGAUAAUUAAAGCAAUGGUACAUCAGCUUUCAGCUGUGAAAGCUGGACACUGAGGAAGAACAAGAGAAAGAAGAUAAACACCUUUGAAUUAUGGAUUUGGAGAUAGUUACUUAAGAGUGCUGUGGACUGUAGGAAGAACCAAUCAAUAUAUCCUGGAUGAAAUUGACUGAUUGCUCUCUCAAGGCAAUGAGCAGCAAGCAGAAACUUGGGGCAUCUGAUGUGACUGAUGAUGGACUGGAAAAAAAUUACUUGGCCUGCCAAGGUUGUGGAAAAUAAAAGAACAAGAAGACAAACAGAUAAGGAUGUGGUAAUGGUCAUGCACUUAGAUGGAUUAGAGGAAAUGCAAGAACAGAUCAUGGAGAAGGCUGCUUCGCAGUUGCCAUUAGCCACAGCAGCUGAACGCAACCACCAUAUCAUUCAUGGCAAAGUAGUAUUCUGACAUCAUCAAGAGUGCAGAGCAAACAAGAGUAUAUUGUUUCAACCAUAUGAAAAGCAGACAUGUUGACAUGUUGAUGAAGCGAUGCCAAAAUGGAAAUUAUGAUGCUACAAAAUGUCAAAAAUUUCAGUCUUCUACUCGCUUAUCUAAGAUUUACCCCAGAGCAGGGCUUGGAAUAUAAAAAUGGAAAUAAAAUCUGUAAGGUGGUAAGAAAUAAGAUAUUGCCAUUGGCCUUUGCCCUGACUGACUGGAAGGAGUUGGUCCCACAAUGCUAAUCAAUUUGAUCAGCUCCAGCUAUACUGUACAAUCAUACUUUUGAGGAAGAGUACAAAGGCAUUUAUAGAUUCUGCAACAGUAAACAAUAAAGAUAAAUACAGCCUCAAUUAAGCUGCUCCACCCCAAUGACUACACAGACAAUGGCAGCUGAUUG
Molecule: non-coding RNA, 1164 nt
Organism: Python bivittatus (Burmese python)
Lineage: Eukaryota; Metazoa; Chordata; Lepidosauria; Squamata; Pythonidae
Source: RefSeq, a predicted model, not a curated record